UUUCUUAGCAGAUACCCGGUACCCCAA
RNAcentral lists this non-coding RNA (27 nucleotides) under Mus musculus (house mouse). The record is from RNAcentral. Lineage: Eukaryota; Metazoa; Chordata; Mammalia; Rodentia; Muridae.